Juglans microcarpa x Juglans regia is the source of this 4567-nucleotide RNA transcript. It is a transcript of the gene named DNA repair protein RAD51 homolog 4, with no coding region annotated. The record is from RefSeq and is a predicted model, not a curated record. The transcript is spliced from 11 exons. NCBI's taxonomy places the organism in Eukaryota, Viridiplantae, Streptophyta, Magnoliopsida, Fagales, Juglandaceae.
AUUCUUAGAAACCUGUUGACACAAAUUUAACGAAGUUUUGAAACAGAUGGAAGUGGGCCUUGACAUCAAAUUCUUUCAACGAGAGAGAAGAAAGAAAGAGGAGGGGGGAGUUUUGAUUCAUCAGCUGUAUAUAGUUCUCCAUGUGACGACGGCGAGAGGAGAGCGGGGCAAAUGUGAAAUGGCACCAUUGAAAUAUUUGGAGCAAGAGUAUCCCAUAUUAGACUCCAACUUCCAGAACUUCUGUGCUACUCACGGCAUUUUCUCAGAGGAGGAUUUACUCUUGCAUGACCUCCAUGUAUUGGUUGCUUUUGCAGAGCAACAGUCGACAUCUGAGAGAUUAAAGCAGGGCAUUACCCAAGUCCUCUCUAUCAUUGAUGGUCAGCAUCAGCCGUGGUUGAAUGGUAUGGAGCUGUUGGAAGAUGCUCAACUGAAUAAACAUGUGUUAUCCACUGGUUGUGAGGGGAUUGAUCUUUUACUUCAAGGUGGAUUACGCAUGGGACAGUUAACUGAACUUGUUGGGGCUUCAUCGUCUGGUAAAACACAGGUUUGCCUUCUAGCCACCUCAAAUGUUGCAAAAAAGCAUAUGGGCGGUGUUGUAUACUUAGAUACAGGCAACUCCUUUUCGCCCCAACGUGUUAUAGACUUUAUUCGUCAGAAUUCUGACCCUGCCAUUGAUCAGGCUAAACACAGAAUUCUGCAGAAGGUAAUGAAUAGAAUAUUAUGCCACUCAGUAUUUGACAUCUUUACAAUGUUUGAUGUGCUACAUCAGCUAGAACUCAAUCUGAGAUCUCAGAUACAGAAAGGAGAUUGUCAGGUGCAGCUGCUUAUAGUUGAUUCGAUGUCAUCACUGGUUACGCCAAUCCUUGGAGGAGGUGGUUCUCAGGGACAUGCAUUAAUGACUUCUGCUGGAUUUCUGCUGAAGAAAUUAGCACAUGAGCAUAAUCUUGUCGUAUUGGUGACGAAUCACACUGUGGGUGGAGAGGGAGGUAUCUCUAAACCAGCUCUUGGAGAGAGUUGGAAGAGCAUCCCACAUGUUAGGCUUCGGCUUUCCCAUGACCAAGGAAGCAGCAUCUACAAUGUUUCUGUAUUUAAACACCCAUCCAUGGCUUCUGGUAAGGCUGCAAGGUUUACGAUUUAUGACUAGUGACGUGGAUUAUACUUGAACCUGGCCAAUUCUCGGGUGAAAUAUUUGGGGUGGCAGAGUCAUACAAGGAAGAUACUCUUGAUAAACUCAAAUUGCAGAAAUGCACCUGUUUCGUAAUAUCAUCAAGAACUAGCAAUUUUGUUAGGUGCUUGGCUGGAGGCUAUUGGAUGAUGAAGGUGGUCUUAAACUAUAAUGCUUGUGGAAAUUGAGAGAUUUUAAAUGUGGGGUUGAACUCAAUAAUAGGAUUUAUGAGGUUGUAGAAGCUGCAGGACAUUUACCCAAACCUCCACUUGGAACAACCAAAUCAAGUUACAGCUGAACUUUGGACAGCUUCCAUAGGUAAACGUCUAAAUUUGAAAAUUUUCCUUCAGCCAAUUGGAAAAGAUUCUUCUUUUAUAUCUCAUAUGCCGCAAUCUUUCAUUUUCUUGUUUUAACCAUAUUGGGAAUGGUUAAGUUCCAAAUACUUCUACAUGGCCCUUGAAAAGUGUAACACACCUCAAAUUACUCAAAAUAAAGUACACUAAAAUUGCUCACUUCGAGGGAGCACCUCUAAAGAAAAGAGGAAGAAAAUGAAAAGAGAAAAGAAAAGAGGAUUUUCAUUUAAGUUUCUUGAUUAUGAACACUAGAGCCUUUGGCUAUAAACAAGAUGCUCCCUACAUGGGUCCAGGCUAACAAAACUAAAAGCAUACAAAGAAAAUAAAACUAAGGGCUUGGCCCCACUAGCUAUCUUAUAGUUCAAAUAGCAUGCUGAAUCAAAAUAAAGUAAGUUGUUAAUGAAAUUAAAUUGGCCCAUGGCCGAUGUACUUCAUUUGUAGACUGUGACAAACCAUCUCCAUAAAAGCACCUUGUCCACAAGGUGCGAUAUCAUUGCCCACAAUUGUCCUACCACCAGGGUAAAAAAUGAAGAUUUUCCUUAUCUCAGCAGCCACACCAUGAUUUUGCAAAGCAUUUUUUAGGCCUACUACAGAAAGGGGUGGUCUGCUGAAAACAGCAACAGGUACAUUCUUGUAGUCUUGUUUUGUAGGUCGCCCACCAAAAAUAGUUGUUACAAAGCAUGUGGCCUCCAUUAAGGCCACAUGGAUAACAAUCAUUCUAUUCGUAACAUCACCUACACACAAGAACAAUUCCUACUCUAGAGCAACAGUUCUUUUAGCUGUUGUGGCACCAGCUAUUAACUUGCACAUGGAAGCCUGAUAAGUGUCACUCAAUGGCUGAUGGAAGUAAAAACUUGUUAUUAGAUGAUGUUGUAAUAGUCCACCCCGCUCCUCAACAAGCUGAGAAACUACAAUUGCAAGUUGUUCAUCCCCAUGGUUCUUUGAGCAAACAUUGAGAGCUGAAUAAGUAUCACCUCCAAGCUGAAAGUAAGCAAUGGCCAGCUCUAGCUUAUUUCUCUUCAUCAAAACAUAAGCUUUCUUCAAAGUGACUGCUUUAUAUUUUUCUUCCUGAAAAGUCCUUGCAAGAAAAGCCACCAAAAGCUUAUCCUUCUCAUCCUGCUGAUUAUAAAAAGACCAACCAACACUUGAAGUCUAUUCAAUGUUGUAUAUAACAAAGCACAAUCAUUGGGAUUUUUGUUUUUAAGAUAUUGUAAUCUUGCCAGUUUCUCCAUCUAUGCAUGCAAUUGUGUUGUAUUAGUAGACCAAUAUCCAACUCCAACAGCCUGCAUUUCUUGCCAAGUUGGUUUGUUAGGUAGAAAAGAAGCAAUUAAAAUUUAUUGGGAAUCAAAGUGGUAUGCCCAUAUAAUCAACCUAGAGCCAACACCCAACUCUUUCACAAAUGCCAAUCUUCCAAUCAUCUGGAAAAAAUGUAACUGCUGACACCUCAACGCUAUCCAAAACCUUCGCCCAAGUUUAUCAAGACUUUCAUAGGCCAAAGUUUGUGGAAUACUAAGUUCACUGAGAAGAUCUGUAGUUCCAACAAUUUGAGUCUUCUCUAUCUUGGCUAUUGCUGCCAACCAAUGCAAGUUCUCAAGAGGCUCAACAAAACCAUUAAGUUCAAAGUUUCUGGAAGAGGAAGGGAAGUUGUUAUUGGAAGAAAAAGACUCAUAAUCAGAAGCAAAUUGGAACAUGCUGUUCUGAAACUGAGAUGAUGCUGUGGUCAAAUCUCCACUCCAUUGAAAUCCAUUAUCAGUUGAAUUUAUGAAAAGGCUUCCUUCCAAAUAAUCAGACGAGGAUCUCUGGGAUUAUGCAACUGGUCCUUGUGGGGAUAUUUUUCAUCUUAGUAGCAUGGUUAGAAGUAAGACCUUCAGCUAGAUGCCACACAACCAUAUAUGCACGUUUCCAUUUCUCUGAAUCAUAUUUCAAUUGAUCCCUUCCUAUGAACAAAUUGAUGGCAAGGAAAUCAUUCUUCCUAUGAAACUCUAUAGAUGGCUGAGACUCACAUGAUUGAUUAAAAUUAUCAAUGUCACAAUUAGUAAAAACUAUAGAAAGAUGCUUCAGAUCUAAGCAUUACAACCCCUAGACAGUUAAGCAAUUUGACAUCCUUGCCUAACUGAACUGCUUGCAUUGAUAUUGUAAAUCCAGGAGUAGCACCAACAUUGGUGACAUAGCACCUCUUCAAGCUAUUAAUGAGACUACUCUUACCAAGAUUGGGUAGGCCAAUAAUACCUACCAUAAUUAACUUCUUGAUCUCAUGGUUUCUUGAGUAAUUCUUCAACAAUUUAAUAAGAAUUUCAGCCCCUAUACAAUCCCUCGUUUGCAGAAGAUUGCUUGGUUUUGCUACCUUGGAUGACGACUCCCACCCUACGCUUGAUCUUUGCUGUUGAGUACUGCACUUAAAUGCAACUGUUGGUAAUUCUUCCCUAAGAUACUUGAGCCACUUCUCAACAGCUUCUCUAGGAACAAGAUCGAUUUUAUUCAGAAGUAAAACUAGAGUCUUGUGAGGUACAAAUUUAAUCACCAACUUCUUCAUAUCAACACAGCGAGUACCUAGGGAAUCACAAGUAUCAAGAACCUCCACAAUAACAUUUGAUGCUUCAAUGACCUUACCCAACUCCUUGUAGAAAGCUUUGUCCACAUCAUCCUGAUUUUUUCCAGCUCCCAUUGAAUCGACGUUAUGUUGGCUCUUACAAUUUGUUCCCACAAUUUUUCUUUCUCUUCCUUUAUCAAAGGGUCCAAAAACACCCUUAAGUGGCAAUAUAUCAAGCAGUUGGGGAGCAAAAGUCAUACCUACCAAAACUUUAUCCCUCUUUUGUAGUGUUAGAUGCAUUAUAUCAUCCUUGAUGGUCCAGAAAGAAGAGUCCGUCUCCACUGGAUCCCAAUCUAACUCAUGCUCUUCAGCAAUUUCUUUCAUAAGCUUUAGUUUCUUUUUAAGUGAAGGAGCACCAAUUGUUAGUAGUUCUAUUAACUAGCGAUUAACACCACAAUCUGGCAUGAGCUUUGUUGCAGCUGAUACAACUUUUUUGCCAUACUUAGUCGCAAAUAGCAU